RNAcentral lists this small RNA (26 nucleotides) under Bombyx mori (domestic silkworm). RNAcentral's name for it is "ovarian small RNA-9889". Lineage: Eukaryota; Metazoa; Arthropoda; Insecta; Lepidoptera; Bombycidae. The record is from RNAcentral.
AAAAGUCUUUGUCAUGUGCAGCUGUA